This is a long non-coding RNA of Gadus morhua (Atlantic cod), 295 nucleotides long. Lineage: Eukaryota; Metazoa; Chordata; Actinopteri; Gadiformes; Gadidae. The record is from Ensembl.
GCAAUGGACUACUAGCUGUAAAGUGUUCAUAAAGCUGAAUGGUACGACGACUACAGAAGACGGAAAAGUCAUGGUCAUUAAUGACAUUGGUGAUCUUGACAGAUUCGAUGUCUGAGGCAAUGGUUCUGGGCACUUUGGCGGAGCACUCACUGCCAUUCACAAUGGCCCCUGUCAUCGUCAACCUUGCUCGGAUGCUGGCCGAGGACAAAGUGGCUCUAAGUCGCAUGAAGCUGUCGCGAACAUCAGCGCAAUAUAAAAUGGUUCACGGCCUGGGGAAGACAUUCUCCGACCGCAU